GGAGAGAUGGCUGAGUGGUUGAUAGCUCCAGUCUUGAAAACCGGUAUAGUUCGAAACAAAAAACUAUUGAUGGUUCAAAUCCUUCUCUCUUCU
Gossypium arboreum is the source of this 93-nucleotide non-coding RNA. The record is from Rfam. NCBI's taxonomy places the organism in Eukaryota, Viridiplantae, Streptophyta, Magnoliopsida, Malvales, Malvaceae.